UCGUAUUUCCAUUGCAGAGCGAAGGUUCAGCAGUGUGGGUGACUGCACCUGGCCGAGACAUUUCCAGUUUGCCAACUAGUUCAUACUACAACAUUCCACCUCAGGGUCAGCAUGUGACAUUUGCCCCAACUCAGGCUGGCCAUGGCACCUUUACCGGCAUCUAUCACCCUCCACAAGCAGUGACAGCUGCAGGAGUUCAUCCACUGCUACAUCAAUCCCAGACAAUGGCUGGAGCAGUUGAAAUGGUAGGACCUGGAGGCAAUGUUUAUCAGCAACCUCAGCAUGCACAAAUCAAUUGGCCGGGCAACUACUGAGGCUGUGAGAUCUCCCUGACAGCUAAACUAGAUAAUCAAGUCGUAUCUAGUGAUUUUUUCGGGAAACUCCAAAAUAUAGAUGGAGUUCCAUGUGGACAACAUUGCAAUUGGCUGCACUUGAGUGUAAGAGCUGGAAAAAUUGACAAUAGAAUUAUAUCCCACUACGCUCCUAACUACAUUCCUUAUGGCCACUACUUUUCACCAUUUUAUGUCCCACCUCCUCCAGCAAUGCACCAGUUUGUGGGUAAUGGUGCAUUUCCCCAACAACCUCAGGCCAGCACUGUAUAUCCACCUCCCCCAGCUGUGGCUGCUCCAGGAGUGAAAUAUCCUCUUCCCCAAUUCAAACCUGGAACUAAUGCAGCAAACCCAACUCACCUUGUAAUGCCAAGUGCCUACGGAGCAUAUGGCUCCUCUCCAGCCGGUUAUAAUCAUAGUUCUGCAGCACCACCUGCAGGGAAUUCGACCUUUAACGAGGAUCUUGGUUCCUCCCAGUUUAAGGAAAAUAAUGUAUACAUCAGUGGACAGCAGGUUCGCUCCUUCUUAUCUUAACAUCUUCAUUUUUGUAACUUGUCUAUGAAGUUUGAUGGCCUUUUAUUUGAAUUGCUAAAGAAAGAACCUUCCAUGUAUAGAAGUUCAAUUAGGUUUAGCAAGACAGUUACGAAAAGCCUAUUCCAUAAAAUUAGCUGCUUUUCUUGUGUUUAUAUUUUCAGUAUAAGGACUAUCACCUACAUUUGAUUAUAAUUAUGUUUCGUAUUUCCAUUGCAGAGCGAAGGUUCAGCAGUGUGGGUGACUGCACCUGGCCGAGACAUUUCCAGUUUGCCAACUAGUUCAUACUACAACAUUCCACCUCAGGGUCAGCAUGUGACAUUUGCCCCAACUCAGGCUGGCCAUGGCACCUUUACCGGCAUCUAUCACCCUCCACAAGCAGUGACAGCUGCAGGAGUUCAUCCACUGCUACAUCAAUCCCAGACAAUGGCUGG
Molecule: long non-coding RNA, 1294 nt
Filed under: Lupinus angustifolius (narrow-leaved blue lupine)
Lineage: Eukaryota; Viridiplantae; Streptophyta; Magnoliopsida; Fabales; Fabaceae
Description: long non-coding RNA (LANG_LNC001593)
Source: RNAcentral